GAAAUGUGAUAACUAGUGUGAAUUGCAGAAUUCCGUGAAUCAUCGAGUCUUUGAACGCACAUUGCGCCCCCUGGUAUUCCGGGGGGCAUGCCUGUCCGAGCGUCAUUGCUGCCCAUCAAGCACGGCUUGUGUGUUGGGUCGUCGUCCCCUCUCCGGGGGGGACGGGCCCCAAAGGCAGCGGCGGCACCGCGUCCGAUCCUCGAGCGUAUGGGGCUUUGUCACCCGCUCUGUAGGCCCGGCCGGCGCUUGCCGAACGCAAAUCAAUCUUUUUCCAGGUUGACCUCGGAUCAGGUAGGGAUACCCGCUGAACUUAAGC
Molecule: unclassified non-coding RNA, 316 nt
Filed under: plant metagenome
Description: partial contains 5.8S ribosomal RNA, internal transcribed spacer 2, and large subunit ribosomal RNA
Rfam family: 5.8S ribosomal RNA (bases 1-105)
Source: RNAcentral